GAUGAACGCUGGCGGCGUGCCUAAUACAUGCAAGUCGAGCGGACAGACGAGGAGCUUGCUCCUCUGACGUUAGCGGCGGACGGGUGAGUAACACGUGGAUAACCUACCUAUAAGACUGGGAUAACUUCGGGAAACCGGAGCUAAUACCGGAUAAUAUAUUGAACCGCAUGGUUCAAUAGUGAAAGACGGUUUUGCUGUCACUUAUAGAUGGAUCCGCGCCGCAUUAGCUAGUUGGUAAGGUAACGGCUUACCAAGGCAACGAUGCGUAGCCGACCUGAGAGGGUGAUCGGCCACACCGGAACUGAGACACGGUCCAGACUCCUACGGGAGGCAGCAGUAGGGAAUCUUCCGCAAUGGGCGAAAGCUUGACGGAGCAACGCCGCGUGAGUGAUGAAGGUCUUCGGAUCGUAAAACUCUGUUAUUAGGGAAGAACAAAUGUGUAAGUAACUAUGCACGUCUUGACGGUACCUAAUCAGAAAGCCACGGCUAACUACGUG
RNAcentral lists this ribosomal RNA (497 nucleotides) under uncultured bacterium. RNAcentral's name for it is "partial 16S ribosomal RNA". It matches the Rfam family "Bacterial small subunit ribosomal RNA", at positions 28 to 507 of the family's 1533-position model. The record is from RNAcentral.